GCCAGGAGCCCAGCAGCCCCUGCAAUGCGGGGCUGGGCAGCAGGGACUGUGGGCAGCCCGGAGGGGCACCCCUGGGUGACAGCCCCCGGCUGUGAUUGAUGGCCGGGGAAAGGAAGCGGGCUGAUUAGUUGCUGGAUUUUUUUUUUUUUCUUUUUUUUUACCUGCUAUUUAAAAAAAAAUAAAAUUGUAUGUUCUGUGUGGGUUCCUGAUGUCGUAUGGAAGUGCCACAGGCGGCCGGCACCCGACUCAGGAGGUGACCGUGUGCCGUGUCGCCCAGAGGCGGUGAAGCUCAUGAGGAGGAGCGCGUCGGCUGCUGCUGCUGCGUGACAUGGCCCAGCGACCAUGGCGAAGGACGGGGAUGAAGCCCCCAGCCCCAGCAGCUGUCGGGGUGCUGCUGGCCCUGGCCCUGCUGGCUCUCAUCCACCUGCCCCCACCACCAGGCCACUCCCUGCUCCCGCUGCCGGCCUCGUCCCCCCCAGGGCCCCCGAGGGAGGUGGCUGCCCCCCUGUCUGGAGGACAAGCCUACAGAAGAAGGCUCCCCAUGCCUCGCACUCACCUGCAGCAGCGCCCUGGCCGGAGCAGGAGGCGGAGGGGGCUGGAGAGGGACACUCCCCCUUGGCUCUCUGCUGAUGACCUCCAGAAGAUGUGGCUGCUGUCCAGUGGGCAGGUGGUCUCCAAAACCCGUGUCCCUGCCCACGGGCAAAUCAUGCGAGUGAGGCUGCGUGCCGUGGGGGGUGCCAAGGGAGAUGCCAAGGGGGAUGUCUUGCCAGCCAGCCCGGAAGGAGACUGCCAGGAUGGGCGCUGUGGGCUCAUCAAGCGCCCUGGGGACUUGUACGAGGUGCUGGCCUUCCACCUGGACAGGGUGCUGGGGCUGAACCGCAGCCUGCCUGCCGUGGCCCGGCGCUUCACCAGCCGCCUCCUGCCCUACAGCUACACCGACGGCGCCCUGCGCCCCAUCAUCUGGUGGGCUCCUGACCUCCAGCACCUGGAGGAUGCCAACAAUGACCAGAACUCCUGUGCCCUGGGAUGGCUGCAGUACCAGGAGAUGCUGCAGCCCCACAGACCAAUGCUGGUGGCCAGGGACACUCCCUGCUCCAGCAUCCCACACAGCGAGUGGAGCCGCCUGGCCCUCUUUGACUUUCUUCUCCAGGUUCAUGACCGCCUGGACCGCUACUGCUGUGGGUUUCAGCCUGAUCCCUCUGAGCCCUGCGUGGAGGAGAUGCUCCACGAGAAGUGCCGGAAUCCAGCAGAGCUGGUCCUGGUCCACAUCCUGGUCCGGAGGAGCGCGCCAUCCCGCCUGGUGUUCAUCGACAACGCGGGCAGGCCACAGCACCCUGAGGAGAAGCUCAACUUCAGGCUCCUGCAAGGCAUAGACAGCUUCCCAGCAGCGGCAGUGGCCACGCUGCGGUCGGGCAGAUUGCAGAGCCUGCUGCUGCAGUCCCUGCGCCUGGACCGGGAGCUCUGGGAGAGCCAGGGGGGCGCCGAGGGGCUGAGACCCCUGCUCCAGACCAUUGACAGGCGGGCACAAAUCCUCCUCCGCCACAUCCAGGAGCACAACCUGACGGUGUUUGAGGACUCGCCGUGCUGAACCGACCUCCGGCUGGCUCACAGUGCCUGCCUUGCUCAUCCCAGCAGCCAUGGAUGUACCUCAUGCCCUCAGCAUGGACGUUAUGAGGCUCCGUGCUGGUGCUUAGCCCUCCACAAGGUGUUUCCCCUCACCUUGUAGGAUGACCUGGAGAAGCAGAUGGAACCACAGGGAGUAGGAAAGAUGGGGAGGAGAUGUCUCCUAAGACAACCCACAACUGUUUGAGAAAGGCAACAGUCAUCAAGUUAUGGUCUCAGCAUGGAUUUUCAAAGGAAGGGCACAUCCAUGAGGUUUUCUGGAUGCCUUUAUGCACACGCACACAAACACACAAACAGCAACUAUGAAAACUGGAGUCUUGGACAGUUGAACAGCUGACAGGGACCCUGGAAAUAGUUAAAGAAGCAGUGGAAGAAGUCACUGGCAGCCUUUCCAUGGCUUGUACUGGGCUUUUUGAUGAUGCCUUCACUAUUUCCAAAACAUCCCGGACAGAGAGGCAGGGGGAAAGCAGAGGGGAGCUUUCUAAGUGGAUUAAACAAAGACAAGACACUAGAGAUGAGCUCUGCCUUUCCCUCUGCAGAAAAGGUGACGUGUGCCUGGGAGACUGUGAGCCACUGCCUGGACCUUGGACCUUGGACUAGGCAGGACCUUGAAGGUCAGCAGCACUGGGCAGCAGCUGCCCUCACAUAGCCCAUGGUACCAUCCCCAGUGAGAGCCAUGUGCUGUGUGCCAUGUGCCAUGAUCCAUGCAUGUGCCUUGGUGGGCCUGGGCUGCUGCCAAUGCUCUCAAUGUUGAUUUGAAGAUUUAAAUCUCUCGUUCACUCUUUGCCUUCACUGUCAGGGGAUUAAAGGCAAAACUACCCCACAUCUGAAAAGCACUCCUGGCUGCUCUCCUGGGCAUGACUGCAUGUAACUCUUCCCCAGGCUUGCAGAAAUAUGUUUUAACAAAAAUGCCAAGCUAUUUUAGCAGAAGGCAGUCGAGUGCAAAAUGCUUUCUGAGCAUGCUGGCACCUCCGGCAGAGCCCAUCCUGUCCCUGUCACCCCUCAGGCUCCUUCCCAGAAGCACAUUCUGAUGAAGCACAGCAGCAUCCCAGCUAGGCAGGUCCUCAAGUGUCAGGGCUGAGAGAUAAUUCAAAAUCAAAAUGAACAGGAGGAAAAGAGAUGCAGGGAUGGGGUCCAUAACUCCCCACAGUGUGUUUCCCAGCUGAGGCAUGCAGUCAGUGUUUGCCUGGAGCAGUCAGUUCCUGGCCUGUGGGUUUAUGGUUUGCCACCAGAAGGCUUUUUAAAGGCCUCCAUUUCUCCAGCGUUACAGGCAGAGCAUUCAGGCACUCCAGUUCACUUGUGCCUUUGGAAAGUCUCAGUGAGACUGGCAUGGGUACCCAGCUGCACCAUGGCACAGCUGUCCCAUUGCAAUAGCUUUGGAGAACACAGCCACUCAUGCAGUGGGAGAGGAAAAGCUGGGUAUGAAUACCUUCCCUGCUCCAUCCUUCUCAGUACUAUGUCAGUUUGAGAAUCUGCUCUAACACCCAUGCUGAUAAGCACAGACAAUUACCUUUUCCCCCCUUUUCCCUCUUGCUGAAGAGAGGGUGAAGCGAGAUGUGGGUGACAUGAAUCAACAAGCAAGCACGAGUGCUCUCAGGAAUCAUCAGCACUCAGCAUCACAGGCAGCAUCCAAAGUGCCAUCAGCUUGUUCCUGGAGUCCUGCCCUCCAAUUAGCCAGGGAGGGCCUUUCCCCCAGCACUCUCUCCACCCCAUGAAUUAUCACCCUAUUUGCUGUGUCAUGAGAUGGAUCACGGUCAUGGAAACACUGCUAAAGCCUGAAUCAUGAGGAUUUAUUACUGGGAGAAACAGGAAACAACCAGUGUGUGGGAGAUAUCUCUACUUCAGCUGAGCAUGACCUUUUCAAGCCUGAUCACAGUUCAAGAGAGCUAUGGCCUUGAAGUUUGCCUCUUUUAUUCUGUAGGGACCACUGACUGCAGAAAACAGAUGCCAUCUGUCCACCGUGCCUUGUAAAUCAGAUUUUAAUCAUCUCAGGGAGAGGUCUGUCUCCAGCUGAGUGCUGCAAACCAGAUUUCCUGGCUGUGGGUGGAAAACAGCUUAGGCCAUGCCUGAAUUGAUCAGGUAAGUGCAGGUCUGUUUCUCACCUCCCAGCUGACCUCCCUCCCCAGCAUGAUGACUCUGCAGUGUAUCUGCAUCCAGCGUGGGCAGAGAGGCUCCCAUAAUGAAGGACACCACUGAGUCAGGACCAAGAGAGACACCUCCAAGAUCCAGUUUUGCUCCAUGAAAACUGAAGCCACAGAUUGCAGAGAUGCUGGUGUUGGAGUUGCUGUCUCCUCCAGUAUUGCCUGAGUCCCAGCAGCUACAGGCUUGCCUGGUGGAUAACACGUUUGUUCCAAGGGCUGCUGCAGUAGGUUGCAGUGGGCAGUGGGGGAGAGAGCCAGGGAGGGAAAUGGCACAAGAUUUGACUCUGUCUGGUCUUGUACAGCCCUUACACAGGUCUGUAAGGCAAACUGUGUGUUCCUACAACAAUAAAAGUGCGCUGCUGAGGAUGGUCACAAGCACA
Vidua macroura (Pin-tailed whydah) is the source of this 4144-nucleotide RNA transcript. It is a transcript of the gene named golgi associated kinase 1A, with no coding region annotated. NCBI's taxonomy places the organism in Eukaryota, Metazoa, Chordata, Aves, Passeriformes, Viduidae. The transcript has 8 exons. The record is from RefSeq and is a predicted model, not a curated record.